CCCUGCAUUCGUAAGUGACCACAGGCUGUCCGUGUCCUGGUCAUUGGUUCUGCAGGCAGAGGAGAUGCAGAAAGGGUUUCCCUGUUUGGAGGGGCCGUAUCCUGGCCUUCCAGCUCUAGGAAUGCCCUCACA
This is a small nucleolar RNA of Oryctolagus cuniculus (rabbit), 132 nucleotides long. Its record names the gene SNORA71. It matches the Rfam family "Small nucleolar RNA SNORA71". From Rfam's summary of the family: The members of this family belong to the H/ACA class of snoRNAs which bind a number of proteins (including dyskerin, Gar1p and Nop10p) to form snoRNP complexes. This class of snoRNAs are thought to guide the sites of modification of uridines to pseudouridines by forming direct base pairing interactions with substrate RNAs. This family includes U71 (SNORA71), ACA39 (SNORA39) and ACA60 (SNORA60). The record is from Ensembl. NCBI's taxonomy places the organism in Eukaryota, Metazoa, Chordata, Mammalia, Lagomorpha, Leporidae.